This 520-nucleotide ribosomal RNA is filed under the name Strongylura scapularis (shoulderspot needlefish). RNAcentral describes it as "partial 16S large subunit ribosomal RNA". It matches the Rfam family "Bacterial large subunit ribosomal RNA", at positions 1923 to 2595 of the family's 2925-position model. Lineage: Eukaryota; Metazoa; Chordata; Actinopteri; Beloniformes; Belonidae. The record is from RNAcentral.
UUUAACGGCCGCGGAAAAAUAACCGUGCAAAGGUAGCGCAAUCACUUGUCUUUUAAAUGGAGACCUGUAUGAAUGGCUGAACGAGGGCUUAGCUGUCUCCUUUUUCUAAUCAAUGAAAUUGAUCUCCCCGUGCGGAACGGGGGAUAAAUACAUAAGACGAGAAGACCCUGUGGAGCUUUAGAUUAUAGACAGACCAUGUAAAUAAACCUACCCUAAAUAGAAUAAACUUAUUGGCUUACUGCUCUUAUGUCUUUGGUUGGGGCGACCGCGGGGUAAUAAAAAACCCCCACGUGGAAAGAAAGAAUCCUUUCACAACCCAGAGUGACAACUCCAAGUAACAGAAAUUCUGACCAAGAAUGAUCCGGCAAUACCGAUCAACGAACCAAGUUACCCCAGGGAUAACAGCGCAAUCCUCUCUUAGAGCCCUUAUCAACGAGGGGGUUUACGACCUCGAUGUUGGAUCAGGACAUCCUGAUGGUGCAGCCGCUAUUAAGGGUUCGUUUGUUCAACGAUUAAAGUC